This 221-nucleotide long non-coding RNA is filed under the name Trifolium pratense (red clover). Its description in RNAcentral is "long non-coding RNA (TPRA_LNC006326)". The record is from RNAcentral. Lineage: Eukaryota; Viridiplantae; Streptophyta; Magnoliopsida; Fabales; Fabaceae.
AACAUUGUAGAGCUUUCGCAUAAGAGCGUGUUGGUGCUCAUGGUGAUUCUCAUCUAGUUAGUUAAUAGUUAGUGAUGAUGAUGAUGAUGAUGAUGAAAUACGGUUAUCAUUUUCCCGGGAAAAUGUGUGAGAGAAAAUAUGAGUGGUUGGAAAAUGGAGAAGGGAAAAUGAAAAAGGAAUCUAUGGUGUAUUCAGUAUUUUGUCGUUUAGUGCAUUCAUUU